UGCGGGGCGGGCGCGGGGGCAGAGCGAAAGGCUUGAGGACCAGGUCGGGGCCGGGUUCCGAGUCGGGGAGCGGCUCCGGGCGGCAGCUAUGAGGCGGGACGUGCGCAUCCUGUUACUGGGCGAGGCCCAGGUGGGGAAGACGUCGCUGAUCCUGUCCCUGGUGGGCGAGGAGUUCCCCGAGGAGGUAAGGGGCACGCCCGCCGCGGGGGUGGGAGCGGGCCCAGCCGGGGGUCCCUGGUGAGCGCGCGGGUCCCUUGCAGGUCCCUCCCCGCGCGGAGGAGAUCACGAUCCCCGCGGACGUCACCCCGGAGAAGGUGCCCACCCACAUCGUGGACUACUCAGAAGCCGAGCAGACGGACGAGGAGCUGCGGGAGGAGAUCCACAAGGCAAACGUGGUGUGUGUGGUGUAUGACGUCUCUGAGGAGGCCACCAUUGAGAAGAUUCGAACUAAGUGGAUCCCACUGGUGAAUGGGGGGACCACGCGGGGGCCCAGGUAAUGAGGGGGAUGUGGAAGGGGCUGGGACUCCUGGCUCCCCUGCCCCUGGUGACCAUGGGCCUUCAACCCAGGGUGCCCAUCAUCCUAGUGGGCAACAAGUCAGACCUGCGGUCGGGGAGCUCCAUGGAGGCCGUGCUCCCCAUCAUGAGCCAGUUUCCCGAGAUUGAGACCUGCGUGGAGUGUUCGGCCAAGAACCUGAGGAACAUCUCAGAGCUGUUCUACUACGCCCAGAAGGCCGUCCUGCAUCCCA
RNAcentral lists this small RNA (746 nucleotides) under Pan troglodytes (chimpanzee). RNAcentral's name for it is "retained intron". The record is from RNAcentral. Lineage: Eukaryota; Metazoa; Chordata; Mammalia; Primates; Hominidae.